GUGGGCAUCUUACCGGACAGUGCUGGAUUUCUUGACUUGACUCUAACACUGUCUGGUAACGAUGUUCAA
Non-coding RNA from Cricetulus griseus (Chinese hamster), 69 nucleotides. Lineage: Eukaryota; Metazoa; Chordata; Mammalia; Rodentia; Cricetidae. The record is from Rfam.